This 74-nucleotide transfer RNA is filed under the name Bos taurus (domestic cattle). It matches the Rfam family "tRNA". From Rfam's summary of the family: Transfer RNA (tRNA) molecules are approximately 80 nucleotides in length. Their secondary structure includes four short double-helical elements and three loops (D, anti-codon, and T loops). The record is from Rfam by way of RNAcentral. Lineage: Eukaryota; Metazoa; Chordata; Mammalia; Artiodactyla; Bovidae. RNAcentral also lists the same sequence under 5 other names.
UCCCUGGUGGUCCAGUGGCUAGGACUCCAGUGCUCCCAAUGUAGGGGGCCCGGGUUCAAUCCCUGGUCAGGGAA